RNAcentral lists this unclassified non-coding RNA (337 nucleotides) under soil metagenome. RNAcentral describes it as "partial contains 5.8S ribosomal RNA, internal transcribed spacer 2, and large subunit ribosomal RNA". The stretch from base 1 to 120 matches the Rfam family "5.8S ribosomal RNA", at positions 35 to 154 of the family's 154-position model. The record is from RNAcentral.
GAUGAAGAACGUAGCGAAAUGCGAUAAGUAAUGUGAAUUGCAGAAUUCAGUGAAUCAUCGAAUCUUUGAACGCACAUUGCGCCCGCCAGUAUUCUGGCGGGCAUGCCUGUUCGAGCGUCAUUUCAACCAUCAAGCCCCCGGGCUUGUGUUGGGGACCUGCGGCUGCCGCAGGCCCUGAAAAGCAGUGGCGGGCUCGCUGUCACACCGAGCGUAGUAGAUUUUAUCUCGCUCUGGGCGUGCUGCGGGUUCCGGCCGUUAAACCACCCUUUUAACCCAAGGUUGACCUCAGAUCAGGUAGGAAGACCCGCUGAACUUAAGCAUAUCAAUAAGCGGAGGA